RNAcentral lists this small nucleolar RNA (111 nucleotides) under Plasmodium cynomolgi strain B. RNAcentral describes it as "small nucleolar RNA snoR13". It matches the Rfam family "small nucleolar RNA snoR13". Lineage: Eukaryota; Apicomplexa; Aconoidasida; Haemosporida; Plasmodiidae. The record is from Rfam by way of RNAcentral.
UCGCGAGUGAUGACAAAUUUUUCUCAUAUGUUCGCAGUUGAGAGUUUAGUACAAUCAGAAUAACUCGAUGAAUUAUUCACGUAGCCUUCACUUAGAUGUCUGACGCGGAAA